AGCGAACGCUGGCGGCAUGCUUAACACAUGCAAGUCGCACGGUCGGCUUCGGUCGGCAGUGGCGGACGGGUGAGGAACGCGUAGGAACAUGUCCAUGGGUGGGGGAUAACCCUGGGAAACUGGGGCUAAUACCGCAUGUGUCCUGAGGGACAAAGCCGUGAGGCGCCUGUGGAGUGGCCUGCGUCCGAGUAGCUAGUUGGUGGGGUAACGGCUUACCAAGGCGUCGAUCGGUAGCUGGUCUGAGAGGACGACCAGCCACACUGGGACUGAGACACGGCCCAGACUCCUACGGAAGGCAGCAGUGGGGAAUAUUGGACAAUGGGCGCAAGCCUGAUCCAGCAAUGCCGCGUGGGUGAAGAAGGUCUUCGGAUUGUAAAGCCCUUUCGGCGGGGACGAUGAUGACGGUACCUGCAGAAGAAGCCCCGGCUAACUUCGUGCCAGCCGCCGCAGUAAAAC
Molecule: ribosomal RNA, 456 nt
Filed under: uncultured bacterium
Lineage: Bacteria
Description: bacterial SSU rRNA
Rfam family: Bacterial small subunit ribosomal RNA
Source: RNAcentral